GACGAACGCUGGCGGCGUGCCUAAUACAUGCAAGUAGGACGCAGUUGCGAACGGGUGAGUAACGCGUAGGUAACUAGCUAUUAGAGGGGGAUAACUAUUGGAAACGAUAGCUAAUACCGCAUACUAGUAGAUGGACUUGAGUUGUAUUAGCUAGUAGGUUGGGUAAUGGCCUAACUAGGCAACGAUACAUAGCCGAGCUGAGAGGGGGGACGGGCAAACUUGGAAUGAGACACGGGCCAGACUCCUUCGGGAGGCAGCAGUAGGGGAUCUUCGGCAAUGGGGGGAAACCUGAACGAGCAACGCCGGGGGAGUGAAGAAGGUUUUCGGAUCGUAAAGCUCUGUUGAUAAGGAAGCGGUACUUAACCAGAAAGGGACGGCUAACUACGUGCCAGCAGCCGCGGUAAUAC
RNAcentral lists this ribosomal RNA (407 nucleotides) under uncultured bacterium. RNAcentral describes it as "partial 16S ribosomal RNA". It matches the Rfam family "Bacterial small subunit ribosomal RNA", at positions 28 to 526 of the family's 1533-position model. The record is from RNAcentral.